AUUUCAUGAUGAAAAAACAUUAAUCAGUUCUGCUUCUGAACUCCUUGAUGACAACCAAUAUACCAAAACUUUUCUGAACC
Small nucleolar RNA from Glarea lozoyensis ATCC 20868, 80 nucleotides. The record is from Rfam. NCBI's taxonomy places the organism in Eukaryota, Fungi, Ascomycota, Leotiomycetes, Helotiales, Helotiaceae.